Columba livia (rock pigeon) is the source of this 3824-nucleotide long non-coding RNA. RefSeq lists it as uncharacterized. The transcript is spliced from 4 exons. Lineage: Eukaryota; Metazoa; Chordata; Aves; Columbiformes; Columbidae. The record is from RefSeq and is a predicted model, not a curated record.
UCAGCCUCCAGGUAAGUGCAGGCAUAUGUGGUGCUGUGGCUCAUAGCAUCACGGUGCCAGUCAGCACCUGAUCAACAGCUGGGAGACCAAAACCUCUGUCCUACCACAGCUCUGGGCAGGACAGCUCUUCUCACCACAUGGCCCAGCAGCUGGCAGCCCAGAAACCACAUCUGGCCAUCUCGAGCCAGCUGGGGUUCUCACUGCCAGCCCUCCUCCUGGUUGAUAUCUGUUGGGCCACCCAGGGCUGCAGGACAUGCUGGUGACCACAGGCUGCUCCAGUGCCAGUGUAAUGUCCUGUGACCUCAGGCUGGUAAUGGCUGCUCCCCUGAAGCAGCAGUGAGCUGAGGAGAUGUUGUGUGGUGGGAAGACGGGAAACUGUGGGACAAACAGCCACAAGGAGAAUAUAGUAUUUCAGGUAAGAGAUUUGUUGCAAGUAUGACUUGAACCCUGGACUGACUGGAAAUUUGUGGGAGACAGAAGCACACAAGGUAAUGAGGUGAGUCCAAGGCCUAUGAAAAAAAAAAAAGGAAAAAGAAAACUCUGUGCAAUGGGGGCAUUUUAGAAAAAAAAAAAAAAAAGAUAAUGCAAAAAUUUGACAGUAAGAAGUAAAUUUUCUGUCAGGAGCAAUGCCAGGGUAGUGCAAAAAGCUGGGACCUCGCCGCCAUGAGGAGCAGAGGAGUUUGGGCCACUCAGUGGGUCCCUUGUAGUGAAUUGACAGCUCUGCCUAUAGCCUUGUCCCCAGCUAAACCCCGGGGGAGAAGGGACUGCAGAAGGAGCAGAGACCGAUGCCUCCAUCCCAGGCUGGCUGCAGGCUCCAAGCUGCAGAAUUACUUGAACUGUCACAGGGGGAUGAACUGUGGCCAGGCACACCGUGGAGCAGCUGCUCCUGCGAUGUGGCAGAGGUGUUCCGCUAGCUCUGCUUACUGAUCAGGACUGAAGUGUUUGCAUUUGGAUAAAUCUGUUGCAUGGGAUUUACUGAAAGCUUACAAAGAACAGAUCAACCUUUCAUCAUCCCUGUGCAAACUUGAAGAGCUGUGGGCAGGGGUGAGGACCUGUGUGGGGGUAGAAAAUACUUGCACCUGCCAGACCUUGGUUGUUCUAAAGAAACCUAGAACACCUGAGGGUUUAGGGGUGGAGUGGGAGCUGGUUCCUUCAGGUGGUUUUUUUUGCUUCUUUUUUUCAUAUUUGGUGGGUUGAGGUAAGAGACUAGAUCAGCUCUCUUAGAGUCUGCAGGAUGUUGCUUGGACUGUGGCAACCCAUCUAAAAAAAUGAGUAGCAAGCCUUUGGUUUUUUAUCACUCCUCCAGAGAAAUGAGCAAGCUCUCCUGUUGACAGCUGGCAUCUGGAUGUAAAACCAAGUGGUCCUUGCUGACUGUCAGUGAUCAUACUACUGAUGUUCAGGAAUUCCCCCUGCCCAUGUGUCAGCUUAACGAGUACACAUUUCUGGUUGUCUAUACAGUUCCCAGACAUGUUUAAAUCAUACGGUUGUACGGGGUGUAACUCUUCCAAUUCUGCUUCCAAGCUGGCCUGCGGUUUGUUGCUGAGUAAAUGAAGUCAUGGGACAGAGUUGUCUGAAUUUAGAGAAGGUGAGUUCUGCUGCAGUGACCCACCGCAGAGGAGGGACUCAAUAAACACAGGAGUAGGGGCCUGAUGCUUUCUCCCCAGUAAUUGCUGCCACCCUGUUAAUUCCAUGCAGUUGCUAUAGGUGAUAUCAGGUGCAAGCUCAACAUAAGAUCUUCCUCCUAUCUCUGGGUAUCCGAUAGCCAACACUGCGAAGAAGAAACAGAAUGCUGGCUAUGAAUUAAAGCAUUGGCUCUGGGUCUUAUCCAAUACUGUGAACCUUCCAAAUAUAUCCUUUCCUCAGAAGAUAUUUUUGGAUUACUUUUUUUUUUAAAUUGAUGACAUCUUUUGCUUGCCGUUCACCUCCUUCUACUGUUUCUUAGCACCAUUUGAUUAGAUUGUGCUGAUUUAGUGUCUCUCUUUAAAACCAAGUUAAUAUUAAAAGUAAGCUUUGAUGCUUCUAUGAGAGUAUAUUUUCCCUUUUCAGUAGGUUUUUGCAGAUGAAUGUAGGUCUUUUUGUUGUUUUUUGUUGUUGUGUUUUUGGUUUUUUUUUACAUGAUCUUUGUCAAAACUGUUGGUGGUAAGUUAUACACAGCUCAGUUUAAAAGAUUUUUUUCAAAUGAGAUGUAGUGAAAUAAUUUUUCAGACUCAUCUUUAUUUAUGUUUCUUGCUUUCAUGCAAUUCUGUUCCAAAAGAGCAAAUUUGACUCCUGUGCUUUGCUCCUUUAUUUGCCAUCAUUGUUAUUUCCCUUUUUUAUUCUUUUUCACUUACCAGUUAGAAGCAAAUAACUUGUAUACUUGGUUAUACUAAUAAACCAGGGUCUAAAGCCUGUCUGACUUUUAGUAGUUCUAGAAGCAGAAUUAGAUCCUGGUUUCAUUCUGGAUGAAUAACAAGUUUUUGCCAGACACUAAUAUCUGAUACUGAGUUACAAUGGCUGAAAUACUAAACAUAAGGAAAAAAAAAAUCAGUAAUGGAACUCAUGUGAAGGGCUUGGUUCAUUAAACUGCUACAUUAGGUUAAUGUCAUAAAAAGCAGAUCGGAGUUAUGAGAUGUUGGUUUUCUUGCUCUUCCCAAAAACCUUCCUCGGGGGAGUUCUCUUACCUCAAACACCUGAAAAAACAGGUUGGCAAAUACAGAUUUUUCUGACUGUAGUGGAAACACCAGGGUGAUACAAGGUCCAGAUGAGCUGGAGCUGGGUGGGAAUAUGUGUAACACCCAAGCUGGGGAUGCAGCAAAUACAGGGACGUUGUCUCCUUUCAGAGACUUCGGCUGACCAAAAGCUGAGCAGGAGCUGGUCUGUUGCCACAUCAGACAUGAGGGUUUCUUCUCCCCUCUCAGAUUUCCCCUCGAGGCUUCUGGCAAAAAUGAAACUGGGAGGAAACAUCCUAGAACUCCUAUAGUGGCAUGUAUAGAAUAUAUAACAAAUACAGCUGUAAUUCAAGUUUUCUGGAGAAUAAAGUGUGCAUGUGGUAGGAACACACAGGUGCUGUGUUAUAUGGCAACUAAUAGUGUCCUGAAAAGCUGAAAGUCUUUUCUGCAAUUAAGGAUCUAACUUUGACCAGAUGUUGAUAGUAAUUGAGUUGCAAUACCAUGAUGGGUAUUGCACACUGGGAAACAACUUAGCUUUUAAAAUGUCAUAACUUUAAACCUUGAUUUAGUGUAUUGCAUAAAAGUGAGCUCGCGUUGUAUUUGAUACACGCUCUUUCUGUUAGUACUCUGUGAAUAAAAGCUUUUGCGGUGCCUAUAGCAUCAGUAUUUCAGCCUUGGGUGCUUCCCCAGAGCUAACUUUUUCUACUAGCGUUGCAGUUCAGAACAGUUCACCUUGGGAGGCACCUGGAGAUCACCCAAUGCAGGGUUGCCUUAAAAGUUCUUUAAGGUCUUCUCUAGUUGAGCCUAUGCUGGCAUGUAGCAAUCUAACUCUUGCCAAUCAUUACUCAAAGGUUUAAGUUAAAAUGUUUACUUAGGAAGCAAAUAUUGAAGAUUUUGCAUAAAAACUGCAUGCACAAAUACCUAUGCUUUCAUGCUUGUGUAUAUGUAAUAUAUUACACUCAAGUGCAGGAAAGUGCCUCAUGGAGCAGGGAACUAUUAUCAUGACCACACUUGUGGAAAUAUUUGCAUUUAGCUUACUUUACAUAAACACUCUGGCCUUAAGCCUACAGUGCAGGGUGAGAUGGAUAGUGCAGCAGUCCUGUUCUCAGGACAAAUGCUUUAAGAGGCUUUCAGUGUUUCCAUUUCAAUUCUCUCAAGCAGGGGGUCCUAGCUUGG